RNAcentral lists this ribosomal RNA (450 nucleotides) under uncultured bacterium. Its description in RNAcentral is "bacterial SSU rRNA". It matches the Rfam family "Bacterial small subunit ribosomal RNA", at positions 78 to 524 of the family's 1533-position model. The record is from RNAcentral.
ACAGGUUAAGCUGACGAGAGGCGAACGGGUGAGUAAUAUAUCGGAACGUGCCCAGUAGUGGGGGAUAGCCCGGCGAAAGCCGGAUUAAUACCGCAUACGACCUACGGGUGAAAGGGGGGGAUCGCAAGACCUCUCGCUAUUGGAGCGGCCGAUAUCAGAUUAGCUAGUUGGUGGGGUAAAAGCUCACCAAGGCGACGAUCUGUAGCUGGUCUGAGAGGACGACCAGCCACACUGGGACUGAGACGCGGCCCAGACUCCUACGGGAGGCAGCAGUGGGGAAUUUUGGACAAUGGACGAAAGUCUGAUCCAGCCAUGCCGCGUGCGGGAAGAAGGCCUUCGGGUUGUAAACCGCUUUUGUCAGGGAAGAAAAGCUUUGGACUAAUAAUCUGGGGCGAUGACGGUACCUGAAGAAUAAGCACCGGCUAACUACGUGCCAGCAGCCGCGGUAAU